This 148-nucleotide small nuclear RNA is filed under the name Microcebus murinus (gray mouse lemur). Its description in RNAcentral is "U1 spliceosomal RNA (ENSMICG00000030182.2)". It matches the Rfam family "U1 spliceosomal RNA". From Rfam's summary of the family: U1 is a small nuclear RNA (snRNA) component of the spliceosome (involved in pre-mRNA splicing). The record is from Rfam by way of RNAcentral. Lineage: Eukaryota; Metazoa; Chordata; Mammalia; Primates; Cheirogaleidae.
AUACUUACCUAGCAGGGGAGAUACCAUGAUCACGAAGGUGGUUUUCCCAGGGCGAGGCUUAUCCAUUGCACUCCGGAUGUGCUGACUCCUGAGAUUUCCCCAAAUGUGGGAAACUCAACUGCAUAAUUUGUGGCAGUGGAGCACUGCA